CACCCAACUCCCACAGCUCGAGCUCACUAUAUUCAGCGGCUCCGGUGCGCUCGAAACUUUAUUCACUCCAGAUUCCAACACAGAGACGGACCUGUCGAGCUCUCUAAUCCCCACUGCAAGCUAAGCACUCACUGGAUAGAACACACGGACAACUUUUUACAGAGCUAUUUCCGCCUCUCUAUUUUUGGUUUUCAUUACGGGACUUAAACCUGGGAUUGUACCAUUUAAAAAAGACGCACUUUUUGUUGUUGAAAUAUUUAAAUGUCAUGGUUUUUCAUGUUCAUUGUAUAAAUAAUACUUUUUGGGUAUAGUACUCGAAAUAUUUGAGAACAAGGGAAACUGUUACACAUGUUUUCCAACCUCUGAAGAAGACUUAACAAGUUAUUUGUUCGUGGGGGGUCGAUAACAAGUGCAAUGAUUGCCAAGGUCUUCUGUUGGGAUUGCCUUACUGCUCAACUCGUCUAAGGAGCCAGCCAUGUCCUUUUGUCUGCUCUACUUCUGUCACGGAGAGAGGGCUCGGAGUGGCGGACGCGCACGAAUGUGAAUUACAUUGCAGUCAACUACCCUACUUCAAAGCACUUGAGAUAUCCGCACAGUUCCACAAACAAGUGUUUAGGAGUUGUACCGCGGGCGACUGAACGAGACGACUCACAUGUUCCUCUCCCCAAGGGAUGGUUCUUGAUCAUCCGCGGGCAGGAGCGACUUUGCGGCUCCUACAGCAGGAGACGUUUUCUUGUUUUGGGGGAAAUCGGAAUUAAAGGGAAAUGAGACCUGUACUUUGCUACUUCCUGCUCUGUACAUCGUACCUGCUGAAUGCUGUUGCUGAGGAAGUCCCGCAGGAGUUGAUAGAGAGACUGUCCCACAGCGAAAUCCACAGCAUCAGCGACCUCCAGCGGCUAUUGGACUCCGAGAUAGACGCCCCCGUAGGUGCGGAAAAUGAGGUCAUCGAGGAGACCAAGCCGAUGCAGAAGCAUCAUAAGAACUACUCCCAACAGCAUGGCUACUCAGACCUGAAGAGCUCACAGAUACACAGCCGACGCAAGAGGAGCGUUGAGGAGGCCGUGCCUGCGGUGUGUAAGACGCGGACGGUGAUAUAUGAGAUCCCGCGCAGCCAGGUGGACCCCACGGCUGCCAACUUCCUGAUAUGGCCGCCGUGCGUAGAGGUCAAGAGGUGCACGGGAUGCUGCAACACCAGCAACAUGCGCUGCCACCCCUCACGCAGGCACCACCGCACCGUUAAGGUGGCCAAGGUGGAGUAUGUGCGGAGGAAACCCAAGCUGAAGGAGGUCUUGGUCAGGUUAGAAGACCACCUGGAGUGUGUGUGCCAGUCACAACAUCAUGUGACCGAGCACUCAGACGCAGACACAGACCACCAUACUAGGGCUAAAGGUAGGAAAAGGAAACCUAAAAAGCUAAAGCUCAACAAGGAUUUAUUGGCGACAUAAUAAACUUGAACACAUUAUUCCAAAGUCCGACCGCCGGACCCCCCGGCUCCAACAGUGGACGUAAGGUGAGACCCCAGCAGCAUUGGACUUCAGUGUGGAAGGGGCCAAAGAGAGGAUGCUGCCAUAUUUGGACUGCUGACCUAGCCCCUUCCCUGACCCCACCCUACGCCACCUACCGCCUUUUAAAAACAAAGAUUACUGUAAAGAGAAAAAAAGACAAAAAGUUAUGAAAAUGCCAAAGGUGCUUUUUUCUAUUACCGUAAAAAGUAAUGCAGAAGGUCUCUGCCAAGCGCAGCAGAACCAACCAAUCGAACAAUGACGCGGAUGAGGAUGGUGAAGCCGAUAAAGAGCUGGGCAGAAAAGAGAGGAGGAGGAGGACAAGAUGGGUUGUCGUUUGUUGAGUAAACAGGACAAUUUGACGAUCACAGAGAGAGAUCCAGGAUGGAUCAUUGGAUUAAGCCUCAAUGGGGGAUCUAUCGACUGGAUCCUAAAAGGACACAGAGAGAGAUCCAGGAUGGAUCAUUGGAUUAAUCCUCAAUGGGGGAUCUAUCGACUGGAUCCUAAAAGGACACAGAGAGGGACAAUCAGUGGACUCUUCGGGACGUGUGGAGGCUUGCAUGCUCCUAGCCGUUGGCCUAAGUGACACUUGCCUGGACAGUCAAUGACUGACAGAGAGAGAGGGAGAGAGGGAAAGAGAUGUUGAGAGAAGUUGUAGAGAGGUGUAGAAGGUACUGGUCGUGUUGCUUGUUGUUCCAGAACUCUCUGUACACUGUAGUGGAACUUGUGAACAUUCUGGAACUCAUAAAAUGGUCACCCAUUUAGUCUAUUUUGGAUAAAGAGUUGGGAAAAGUGUUUGGAGUCAUCAGGACCUGUUAUUCCAAUAUGUCUUCUCUGCUUCUCUCUCCUGGGUUCCCCUGUCUGCUCCUAUUGGGAUUGUGCCAGUCACCAUAUACACUACAGAACCAUUCAGAAAGGAAGAUUCAUUCAUUGCUACUAAUAAACUAUUUAUACGUGUGAACGUUUUCCUCUCUCUCUCCCUCCAAGACAUGAUGUUUUCUGUGACAUGUAGGAUUCAUGUUCUGUCUGAUCUUCUGGUAGUGAAUCUUCAUGUCCACAUGUUGUUUGUAGUUGUUCAUGUAGUUGUUACUCAUGUUCAAUGUUGCCUUAUUAUGUGCCAGUAUAUUAUCUGAACAGUCUCUAGUUGUAUGGUCUGGAAAUGGAAGGAAGCGUGAGAAGGAGGAGAUGGGAGGACAGAGUCUGUACAAGUACAGGAAGAUGCUUUAUUUUUGUUAAAAAAAUAUAUUAUGCUUACUUAUAUUCAAGCAGGAAGUAUGUUUGUUAUUUCUUUGUUUGUUGUGGUUGAAUGCUUUUAUUUAAACCAUGGAAACGAUGCAGGAAUGGGGGUGGUGAAGUGUAUCAGGCCCCAGCAAUGCACCCUGUUUGGUGGUGUAGGGUAGGCUUACAUCAGCAGUGCUGUACUGUAUUAUCUAGAGAGAUGGAUAGAGCUAACCUGGUCCCAGAUCAGUUUGUGUUGUCCUGCAAACACAUAUAGUCAUUGGCAAGGCAGCACAAACUGAUCUGAGAUCAGGUUAGUGGAGAGCUGGCUGAGGAAGACUCCGUCUGGGGCACCGUUGGACUGUCUCGUUAAUCCAGUUAUCUAGCCAAAAGUUACACCCAGUAACCAGAGCGUCAUUAUACACAACAGAACGUUCAGCAUGUGUGUGACCACUUUUAACCCACAUCACACUCCUUUGAUAAGAUGGUGGCCAGUCCGCCCCACCAGCACACAAGCUGUUCUUAACGAGUACAAAGUCCAUCUUGAAUGAGAGAGUUUGUGAACAAUUCAACAUGAAUGGUUCCCCAGUUAAUCAAGCAGCCGUCUUCCAUUGACACGUUAACAACGAUGAAGACUGUUCCACUGUUGAUGAGUGAAAGAUUCAAAAAGAAGAUCCCACUGUUUAUGGAGAGAUUGACACCCUAUUUCCCGUACGGUGAAGUGCACUACUUUAGACCAGAGCCACUGGACCAAAAGUAGUGCGCUACACAGGGAAUAGGUUGUCGUUUGGCACACACUGAAUCAAUAGAAAGACCUGGGCACUUUUCCAAAAUGUCUCAGAGUAGGACUGCUGUUCAUCUUAUACAUUAUGAUCUAAACAGCUAAACUGAUCCAAGAUCAGCACUUUAUGAAGUCCUGGGUGAGAGGCAUGUUGAGAGAAAAUAGAUGAGUGAAGAAGCAACAACACUGUAUCUGCAGCUGCUUUGUGUUGUGGUAACGACAUGUUGAACUGUACCAUACAGACUUCCAAGGUGAUUCCAUUGGUGCUUUAGUAGAAAGGACGUCAGAAGAAGUUUCACCACCAUUUUGCAACGCAUUCAUUUAUUCAUUCAUUGUCGAUAGACCAGGGACCAUUCAUUUAUUCAUUCAUUGUCGAUAGACCAGGGACCAUUGCUUACAGUAACUAAACAAACUACAACAACACAAGCUUAUGCCAUUUUUUAUUUGGGCCUCUAUUGGAUAAAAACAGCAAUGAUUAUAAUUUAUAUAUUUAUGUUUUCAAUAAUAAAUACAUUCUGCUUAUCAAACUGUA
This is an RNA transcript of Oncorhynchus keta (chum salmon), 4033 nucleotides long. It is a transcript of the gene named platelet-derived growth factor subunit A-like, with no coding region annotated. The transcript is spliced from 7 exons. NCBI's taxonomy places the organism in Eukaryota, Metazoa, Chordata, Actinopteri, Salmoniformes, Salmonidae. The record is from RefSeq and is a predicted model, not a curated record.